CCAGACUCCUACGGGAGGCAGCAGUGGGGAAUAUUGCACAAUGGGGGAAACCCUGAUGCAACAACGCCGCGUGAGUGAAGAAGUAUUUCGGUAUGUAAAGCUCUAUCAGCAGGGAAGAAGAUGACGGUACCUGAUUAAGAGGCCCCGGCUAACUACGUGCCAGCAGCCGCGGUAAUACGUAGGGGGCAAGCGUUAUCCGGAUUUACUGGGUGUAAAGGGAGCGUAGGCGGUUAGAUAAGUCUGAUGUGAAAGCCUACAGCUUAACUGUGGGAUUGCAUUGGAAACUAUAGAACUAGAGUGUCGGAGAGGUAAGUGGAAUUCCUAGUGUAGCGGUGAAAUGCGUAGAUAUUAGGAGGAACACCAGUGGCGAAGGCGGCUUACUGGACGAUGACUGACGCUGAGGCUCGAAAGCGUGGGGAGCAAACAGGAUUAGAUACCCUAGUAC
This 445-nucleotide ribosomal RNA is filed under the name uncultured bacterium. Its description in RNAcentral is "partial 16S ribosomal RNA". It matches the Rfam family "Bacterial small subunit ribosomal RNA", at positions 331 to 793 of the family's 1533-position model. The record is from RNAcentral.